UUGAUUGCUAGGCUUGAUCUUCCUUUAGGCAUAGGUGAGACUCAGGCAUGGGAAGAAUACAUUAAGCGUGCUCAUAAUCCUCUAUUUGAAAAGGUAUCUAGGCAGACCACCACUAGAGAUAUGACUAAAUUGUUUGGUGAACAACGUGAUAUGCUUAUGAAAACUGUCUUGCCUGCUACAUCUUCUGUUUCCUUGACAUCUGAUAUCUGGUCUGGUAAUGCUAAGGAGGAUUACAUAUCUGUUGUUUCUCAUUAUGUUAGUGCAGAUUGGGAGUUACAGAAAAAAGUAGUUGGUUUAAGAUUGAUUGAAGUGUCCCAUUCUGGUGAAAACAUUGCUGAUAGGAUUGCUAGUGUUGUUGAAGAGUUUGGUCUGAUUGACAAAGUGUUUUCUGUAUCUCUAGACAAUGCUUCUGCAAAUUCUAGGGCUCAUGAGAUAUUGCAACCUAUGUUAUUUGGUUAUUUGGGCUCUUAUCCUGCACCUACAAAAGAUGACCCUGCAAAGGUCAAAUAUUUGCUUGUGCAUCAGCGUUGUGCAUGCCAUAUCAUUAAUCUAAUUGUUAAAUCUGGCUUAAAAAGGUUGAAACCCUAUACUGAAGACUUUAGAACUGCAAUAAAUUUUUUAAACUCU
Molecule: long non-coding RNA, 627 nt
Filed under: Sorghum bicolor (sorghum)
Lineage: Eukaryota; Viridiplantae; Streptophyta; Magnoliopsida; Poales; Poaceae
Description: long non-coding RNA (SBIC_LNC007759)
Source: RNAcentral